Molecule: ribosomal RNA, 406 nt
Filed under: uncultured bacterium
Lineage: Bacteria
Description: partial 16S ribosomal RNA
Rfam family: Bacterial small subunit ribosomal RNA
Source: RNAcentral
AUCGAACGCUGGCGGCAGGCCUAACACAUGCAAGUCGAGCGAGCGGCGGACGGGUGAGUAAGGUAUGGGGACCUGCCCGUAAGAGGGGGAUAACUGCGGGAAACGGUAUCUAAUACGGCCUACAAUCCGAUUAAGGCAGAUGGGAUUAGCUAGUCGGUGGGGUAAUGGCUUACCUAGGCGACGAUCCAUAGCUGGUCUGAGAGGAGGAUCAGCCACACUGGGACUGAGACACGGCCCAGACUCCUACGGGAGGCAGCAGUGGGGAAUCUUGCGCAAUGGACGCAAGCCUGAUGCAGCCAUGCCGCGUGUGUGAAGAAGGCCUUCGGGUCGUAAAGUACUUUCAGUCGGGAGGCGUUACCGAAAGAAGAAGCCCCGGCUAACUACGUGCCAGCAGCCGCGGUAAUUC